RNAcentral lists this ribosomal RNA (255 nucleotides) under uncultured bacterium. Its description in RNAcentral is "partial 16S ribosomal RNA". It matches the Rfam family "Bacterial small subunit ribosomal RNA", at positions 524 to 776 of the family's 1533-position model. The record is from RNAcentral.
UACGGGGGGAGCAAGCGUUGUUCGGAUUUACUGGGCGUAAAGGGCGCGUAGGCGGCCAGCACAAGUCAGUUGUGAAAUCUCCGGGCUUAACUCGGAAAGGUCAACUGAUACUGUGCGGCUAGAGUGCAGAAGGGGCAACUGGAAUUCUCGGUGUAGCGGUGAAAUGCGUAGAUAUCGAGAGGAACACCUGCGGCGAAGGCGGGUUGCUGGGCUGACACUGACGCUGAGGGCACGAAAGCGUGGGGAGCAAACAGG